RNAcentral lists this ribosomal RNA (301 nucleotides) under uncultured bacterium. RNAcentral's name for it is "partial 16S ribosomal RNA". It matches the Rfam family "Bacterial small subunit ribosomal RNA", at positions 509 to 807 of the family's 1533-position model. The record is from RNAcentral.
CAGCAGCCACGGUAAUACGAAGGGGGCUAGCGUUGUUCGGAAUUACUGGGCGUAAAGCGCACGUAGGCGGCUUGGUAAGUUAGAGGUGAAAGCCCGGAGCUCAACUCCGGAAUUGCCUUUAAGACUGCCGAGCUAGUAGGUGAGAGAGGUAAGUGGAAUUCCGAGUGUAGAGGUGAAAUUCGUAGAUAUUCGGAAGAACACCAGUGGCGAAGGCGGCUUACUGGCUCAUUCUAGACGCUGAGGUGCGAAAGCGUGGGGAGCAAACAGGAUUAGAUACCCGUGUAGUCCCUGUCUCUUAUAC